This 440-nucleotide ribosomal RNA is filed under the name uncultured bacterium. RNAcentral describes it as "partial 16S ribosomal RNA". It matches the Rfam family "Bacterial small subunit ribosomal RNA", at positions 339 to 795 of the family's 1533-position model. The record is from RNAcentral.
CUACGGGCGGCUGCAGUAGGGAAUAUUGGGCAAUGGGCGCAAGCCUGACCCAGCAACGCCGCGUGCGCGAAGAAGGCCUUCGGGUCGUAAAGCGCUUUUCUGAGGGAUGAGAAAGGACAGUACCUCAGGAAUAAGCCUCGGCUAACUACGUGCCAGCAGCCGCGGUAAAACGUAGGAGGCGAGCGUUAUCCGGAUUUACUGGGCGUAAAGCGUGUGCAGGCGGUCUGGCAAGUUGGAUGUGAAAGCUCCCGGCUCAACUGGGAGAGGUCGUUCAAAACUACCGGACUAGAGUGUAUCAGAGGGGGAUGGAAUUCCCGGUGUAGUGGUGAAAUGCGUAGAUAUCGGGAGGAACACCAGUGGCGAAAGCGAUCUUCUGGGAUACUACUGACGCUCAGACACGAAAGCUAAGGUAGCGAACGGGAUUAGAUACCCUUGUAGUC